This 274-nucleotide long non-coding RNA is filed under the name Elaeis guineensis (African oil palm). RNAcentral's name for it is "long non-coding RNA (EGUI_LNC072910)". The record is from RNAcentral. Lineage: Eukaryota; Viridiplantae; Streptophyta; Magnoliopsida; Arecales; Arecaceae.
UCUCCGUAGCUCUCCCUUCUUUCUCACAACCCAUCUUAGUUUUAGGACAAGGCUUUGAGAUUUAAGAAAAAGCCUUAUUUGGUCCAAAAAGAGAUUGUGAAGGUCCUAAAGAAGGAGAAUCAAAAGUUUAGAGGAGAUUCUGAGAGGGUCAAGUCAGAUUCUUGGAGAAACCUGACUGAUACAGGGCUAGUCGAGUUUUAGGGGCUAGAACUCUUGAAGCAAGGUGAAGAAAGAGCGCUGUCUUUGGUCUAAUUUUUGUAUGGAUCAUCGUUGG